RNAcentral lists this ribosomal RNA (262 nucleotides) under uncultured bacterium. Its description in RNAcentral is "partial 16S ribosomal RNA". It matches the Rfam family "Bacterial small subunit ribosomal RNA", at positions 91 to 354 of the family's 1533-position model. The record is from RNAcentral.
UUUAGUGGCGGACGGGUGAGUAACGCGUGGAUAACCUGCCGUAUACCGGGGAUAACACUUAGAAAUAGGUGCUAAUACCGCAUAAGCGCACGGCUCCGCAUGGGGCAGUGUGAAAAACUCCGGUGGUAUACGAUGGAUCCGCGUCUGAUUAGCUAGUUGGCGGGGUAACGGCCCACCAAGGCAGCGAUCAGUAGCCGGCCUGAGAGGGUGGACGGCCACAUUGGGACUGAGACACGGCCCAAACUCCUACGGGAGGCAGCAG